GGUUCAGUGGUCUAAUGGUUAUGAUUUCUGUCUCACAUGGUGUUCUUGGCAAUGGAUGUGCACAGAAGGUUCUGAGUUCGAUCCUCAGCUGAACCA
Molecule: non-coding RNA, 96 nt
Organism: Fistulina hepatica ATCC 64428
Lineage: Eukaryota; Fungi; Basidiomycota; Agaricomycetes; Agaricales; Fistulinaceae
Source: the annotation of a GenBank genome assembly